RNAcentral lists this ribosomal RNA (377 nucleotides) under uncultured Glomeraceae. RNAcentral's name for it is "LSU rRNA". The record is from RNAcentral. Lineage: Eukaryota; Fungi; Glomeromycota; Glomeromycetes; Glomerales; Glomeraceae.
UUGAAAGGGAAACGAUUGAAGUCAGUCGUACCGACGGAAAAUCAGCUCUUCGAGUGCGGACUUGUGGGCGUACGUGAGCUUUAACCGGCCUCGUCGUUCGCUACGUUUGUGCUUUUUGGGUGUACUUUUUCGUAUGGUAGGCCAACGUCAGUUUCGAUCACCAUAAAAUGAUCGGAGGAAUGUAGCUUCGAUCUUGUAUUGAAGUGUUAUAGCCUUUGGUAGAUGUGGUGACUGAGACUGAGGAUUGCAACGAAUACCCUUUGGGCUAUCCGUCUGACCUCUGAAAGUUGCUUAGGUGCCGAAAGCUUGCUUACGGUCAUCUAUGACGACGGUCAAAAGGUUAGAACGUGAUUAUAUUCGUUAAGGAUGUUGACGUA